Molecule: ribosomal RNA, 116 nt
Filed under: Pteropus alecto (black flying fox)
Lineage: Eukaryota; Metazoa; Chordata; Mammalia; Chiroptera; Pteropodidae
Source: RNAcentral
GUCUACAACUAUGCCGCCUUAAACAAGCCUGAUGUCUGAUCUCGGAAGCUAAGCAAGGUUGGGCCUGGUUAGUACUUGGAUGGGAGACCACCUAGGAAGACCAGGUGCUGUAGGCA